Molecule: long non-coding RNA, 2037 nt
Organism: Oncorhynchus tshawytscha (Chinook salmon)
Lineage: Eukaryota; Metazoa; Chordata; Actinopteri; Salmoniformes; Salmonidae
Source: Ensembl
AUCAGUGUAGUUAGGGUUAAGGUUAGGUUUAAAUCACAUUUUAAGAAGAGAAAUUGUAGAAAUAGGAGGCCUUCUGACUUUGUGGCCGUGGUAAUUAGUGAGUACCUAGAAAUAUCUUGAGCCGAGUAGGUUAAUUACCCAGCCAAGCAGAUACGAGGUGUUGAGUCAUUUAGGUUGUGAAAAGCAUUAUCAAAAAGCUUUGUCCUUUCUUUAUUACAAAAUGCACGUUACAACUUGUCUGUCUAUAUUUAUCACCCUGUAACCGGCCCUCCCAGUCAACAACACCUCAUAAGAUAAGGAAGUACAUUGUUUAUGAGGAUUGCCUGCUGUAGUUGCUCAAGAGAUGUCCAGUUUGCAGCCGAACGUGCAACAUAGUGAAGACCAGCAAGGGGACCCUCAACAUCACACAGACAUGCCCUCGCCUAUGAGCAGUCCUAGAAAUGGAACAGGGAGGACACUUGAAUCAGUGACCAACCAGUAUCUUUGAAGAGGAGUCAGGAGCUGAUCUACGCUGCCAUGUCUGUCAAUGGGGUGCGGGCAAUGACCUUACCUCUAGUCUCUCCUCUUGUCUGCACACCAACGGUUGUCGAUGGGGAGACCUGAAUUAGAUGCAUCUAUGGAGUCAGCAUUUGGAGACUUGGUCCUGACCAACAGACAGGCUUGAUACUGACGUCUCUGAAUGGAAAGAGACCUGGCACUCAAGGCAUCCACACUGUGGGACUGAAGGUGAUUACUAAUAAUGCAGUCCAGAAGAAAUGUCCAUUAUUUGCGACACCCUUUUUAUUAUGUGUCACUGAUGAACUCCGCCUCAACUUGACCUAUUUCUACAAAUGGAGAGGACUGUGGAUGCUUUUGCCAGAUGCCAGCCUUGUUCGUUUGAUGGGGAGACCAUAAUAGGAAAGGUUUUAUCUGACCUGUUCAAACUUCAACUAGUACCUGUUUGUGUGUAAAAUAUUACCUAUCCUAACUGCCAUUGGUAAUAGAACAAUGACUAUGUGUGUAUGUGUUCAUAGAAACAUGUAUGGAGACUUGUAAGAUGAUGUGAUGAAGUUCAGACUGACAGACAGGCUUGAUACUGAUGUCUCUAAAUGGAGAGAGACCUGGCACUCAGCAUUCACAUUUUACACAGCUUUUACUUGUGUUGUCUUUUUUUAAAUUAUUGAAUUGGAUGGGAUCAGUCAAUAUGAGAUGAGAAAAACACCAUGUAUUCUGCACCAAGAUCAGGGAACUCCUGUUGUAUACCGGACACCACACUGGAAGGUAUGACCACUCUGACAUGUUAGCCAAGGUAGCCCCAUUACCACCAGACAAAAUGUCAUUAGGCAUGAUAUCUGUAUCAUUGUUAUAUUAGCUGAACACUGCUUCUACGGUAUUACGUAAAGGUUGUUGGAACUGUUACUACAUUUGAAAGUUAUCAAAACACUUAAUUUAGAAUAUCUACAUAAAUUCUGCAAUUGCAUUCUUCUCAUAUUACUCUGUAGGUCACUGGUUCCCAACCUUUUCGGUUACUGUACUACCAACAGAAUUUUGCUCUUCCCGGAGUACCCUUGAAGUACCCCUCAUAUGCAUUUUACCUGGUCUCAUGAGUCUUCUCAAGUACUACCUUUGGAUAGGCCGAGUACCCCCAUGGGUCCUAGUACCCCUGGUUGGGAACCACUGCUGUAGGCUACUGACCUAUUCGAAGCUUCCUCUGUCAUCUCACCAUACAUCUGCCAGUAGUUAUUGAACUCAAAAUACAGGAGAUUUGUUGUGAUUGAGUGGGGAAAAAUAGAUGCAGGAAAAGUUAUUAUAGAUUGGUGUGUCUUGGUGGUGGCAAGGACACACCCAAGAAACCCCCACAACCCCAAGCCAACUCACGUUUGGCUUCUGUCAUGGCUGCCAGAAUUUCUCGAGGAGCAAGCCAAAAAAGGAGGCCAAAUCAGCAGGUGCAGUUCCCAUUUUAAAGAAAGCUUUCAGUGCAAAGUUCCUUUUCAGUCGUCACUCUCGGUACAACACAGCUAUGGGGAGACUCAUGUCUGAAGCAGAGGUAUAUCAGAC